UUGGAGGGCAAGUCUGGUGCCAGCAGCCGCGGUAAUUCCAGCUCCAAUAGCGUAUAUUAAAGUUGUUGCAGUUAAAAAGCUCGUAGUUGAAUUUCGGGAUCAAGGAAUCGGUCAUGCCUCGGUAUGUACUGGUUUUAUUGGUUCUCACCUUCUAAAGAACCAUAAUGUCAUUUAUUUGGUGUUAUGGGGAAUUAGGACUGUUACCUUGAAAAAAUUAGAGUGUUUAAAGCAAGCUUACGCUUGAAUACAUUAGCAUGGAAUAAUGAAAUAGGACAUCCGAUUCUAUUUUGUUGGUUUCUAGGAUCGAUGUAAUGAUUAAUAGGGAUAGUUGGGGGCAUUAGUAUUCAAUUGUCAGAGGCGAAAUUCUUGGAUUUAUUGAAGACUAACUACUGCGAAAGCAUUUGCCAAGGAUGUUUUCAUUAAUCAAGAACGAAAGUUAGGGGAUCGAAGACGAUCAGAUACCGUCGUAGUCUUAACCAUAAACUAUGCCGACUAGGGAUCGGAUGAUGUUUAUUUUUUAGUGACUCAUUCGGCGCCUUACGGGAAAC
RNAcentral lists this ribosomal RNA (548 nucleotides) under uncultured Septoglomus. Its description in RNAcentral is "SSU rRNA". It matches the Rfam family "Eukaryotic small subunit ribosomal RNA", at positions 548 to 1098 of the family's 1831-position model. The record is from RNAcentral. Lineage: Eukaryota; Fungi; Glomeromycota; Glomeromycetes; Glomerales; Glomeraceae.